GAUGAAGAACGUAGCGAAAUGCGAUAAGUAAUGUGAAUUGCAGAAUUCAGUGAAUCAUCGAAUCUUUGAACGCACAUUGCGCCCCUUGGUAUUCCAUGGGGCAUGCCUGUUCGAGCGUCAUUUGUACCUUCAAGCUUUGCUUGGUGUUGGGUGUUUGUCUCGCCUUUGCGUGUAGACUCGCCUCAAAACAAUUGGCAGCCGGCGUAUUGAUUUCGGAGCGCAGUACAUCUCGCGCUUUGCACUCAUAACGACGACGUCCAAAAGUACAUUUUUACACUCUUGACCUCGGAUCAGGUAGGGAUACCCGCUGAACUUAAGCAUAUCAAUAAGCGGAGGA
This 337-nucleotide unclassified non-coding RNA is filed under the name soil metagenome. RNAcentral's name for it is "partial contains 5.8S ribosomal RNA, internal transcribed spacer 2, and large subunit ribosomal RNA". The stretch from base 1 to 120 matches the Rfam family "5.8S ribosomal RNA", at positions 35 to 154 of the family's 154-position model. The record is from RNAcentral.